Non-coding RNA from Rhodanobacter sp. C06, 175 nucleotides. The record is from Rfam. NCBI's taxonomy places the organism in Bacteria, Pseudomonadati, Pseudomonadota, Gammaproteobacteria, Lysobacterales, Rhodanobacteraceae.
CGACGUCUUCAGGGCGGGGCGGAAUUCCCCACCGGCGGUAGGCCUUUCGAGGCGAGCCCGCGAGCGCCUUCGCCACAUGGCGAAGGGUCAGCAGAUCCGGUCGAACGCCGGAGCCGACGGUCAGGUCAACCCGGUUUGCCGGGGCGGCUCACAGUCCGGAUGAAAGAAGACGGUU